This 424-nucleotide ribosomal RNA is filed under the name uncultured prokaryote. Its description in RNAcentral is "bacterial SSU rRNA". It matches the Rfam family "Bacterial small subunit ribosomal RNA", at positions 355 to 796 of the family's 1533-position model. The record is from RNAcentral.
UGGGGAAUAUUGGACAAUGGGCGCAAGCCUGAUCCAGCCAUGCCGCGUGAGUGAAGAAGGCCUUAGGGUUGUAAAACUCUUUCACCCGUGAAGAUGAUGACGGUAGCGGGAGAAGAAGCCCCGGCUAACUCCGUGCCAGCAGCCGCGGUAAUACGGAGGGGGCAAGCGUUGUUCGGAUUUACUGGGCGUUAAGGGCGCGUAGGCGGGCGAUCAAGUGAGAGGUGAAAGGCCUGGGCUCAACCUAGGAACUGCCUUUGAAACUGAUCAUCUUGAGUCCGGGAGAGGAUGGCGGAAUUCCCAGUGUAGAGGUGAAAUUCGUAGAUAUUAGGAAGAACACCAGUGGCGAAGGCGGCUCACUGGCUCGGUACUGACGCUGAGGUGCGAAAGCGUGGGGAGCAAACAGGAUUAGAUACCCGCGUAGUCC